Ornithodoros turicata is the source of this 804-nucleotide long non-coding RNA. RefSeq lists it as uncharacterized. The transcript is spliced from 3 exons. NCBI's taxonomy places the organism in Eukaryota, Metazoa, Arthropoda, Arachnida, Ixodida, Argasidae. The record is from RefSeq and is a predicted model, not a curated record.
UGGAUCCGAGGCUAAAACCCCAGAAGGCAAAGAUUGAUGGCUUUCAAUGAGGUAGCAAGAGAAGCGCGCACGUACCUAUCAUGGGCAGCACCUGUAUGAACGCCUGUGAGUAGUGCACCCCUAGUCACGCGAGUGCCACCUGUCGCACCUGGAGGACCCUGAAGCAAACUUUUGGCGGAGUUACAUGACCAGAAGUAUAGAAGGAACGCGCGGUUGUACCUAAUCCACCGUACAGCUCUGAUUUGGCAGCUGUUUGGGCCUAUGAAGGACAGCCUACGCUAGGUCAAGGUCAACGCCUUUCCGUCCUAGUGACUCGUGCUCUGCUAGCUGUGGCAGGCAGACUGCACUCCCCUUUCCACCCAACGUCACUCCUCCUCCUCUGCAUUCGUCCGAGCGUCUCAGUUUAGUUUCGUUUCGUUCUUCGUGGCGUGAUGGCUGAACAACGCACACGGAAGUCCCCGACUUUGGAGCGGAAGGUGGCACUUAUCAAAGGCCUGGCAGCAAGUUCAUCAAGCCAUCAUCGAGAACUGUUUCGUUCAUCCGGGCUUCUGGUCUUCCACCGCCGUACCUGAGCCAGCAGAUUAGUUCAGUGGCUGUGAUGAAAGUGCAACGAGGACUUGGACUUGGAACAUCGAGGACUAUGCGCUUUACGACGGCGUUGUUCCAGUAGCGGUCAACUGAGUGACACUGAAAUCGUCAAGAGUGCCCACGGUAGUGACGUGCCGGGAGGAGCAUCUCAUGUGUAGCAUUGAAGUGCUUGAAGAUUCUUUCUUGUUCCCAAAGGCGAAUGCCAGGCAGAUUGCU